RNAcentral lists this ribosomal RNA (403 nucleotides) under uncultured bacterium. RNAcentral's name for it is "bacterial SSU rRNA". It matches the Rfam family "Bacterial small subunit ribosomal RNA", at positions 355 to 775 of the family's 1533-position model. The record is from RNAcentral.
UUAGGAAUUUUGGGCAAUGGGCGAAAGCCUGACCCAGCAACGCCGCGUGAGUGAUGAAGGCCUUCGGGUCGUAAAGCUCUUUUACAGGGGAAGAUAAUGACGGUACCCUGUGAAUAAGCCCCGGCUAACUACGUGCCAGCAGCCGCGGUGAUACGUAGGGGGCAAGCGUUGUCCGGAUUUACUGGGCGUAAAAAGCUCGUAGGUGGCUCGUCCAGUCGGACGUGAAAUCUCCCGGCUUAACUGGGAGAGGUCGUUCGAUACUAGCGGGCUUGAGGCCGGUAGAGGGAAGCGGAAUUCCGGGUGUAGUGGUGGAAUACGUAGAUAUCCGGAGGAACACCAGUGGCGAAGGCGGCUUCCUGGACCGGUUCUGACACUGAGGAGCGAAAGCGUGGGGAGCGAUCCG